Molecule: ribosomal RNA, 243 nt
Filed under: Butyriboletus pseudoregius
Lineage: Eukaryota; Fungi; Basidiomycota; Agaricomycetes; Boletales; Boletaceae
Description: 5.8S ribosomal RNA
Rfam family: 5.8S ribosomal RNA (bases 112-243)
About the family: 5.8S ribosomal RNA (5.8S rRNA) is a component of the large subunit of the eukaryotic ribosome. It is transcribed by RNA polymerase I as part of the 45S precursor that also contains 18S and 28S rRNA. Functionally, it is thought that 5.8S rRNA may be involved in ribosome translocation.
Source: RNAcentral
GGUCCUCGGAAGAGGAUCUAUGUUUUUUUCACAUCACACACCGUCGUAUGUCUAUAGAAUGUAUUGAAGACCGUCCGGGAUGGGACAGUCGGAUAAUGUUAUAAAUUAUACAACUUUCAGCAACGGAUCUCUUGGCUCUCGCAUCGAUGAAGAACGCAGCGAAUUGCGAUAAGUAAUGUGAAUUGCAGAUUUUCAGUGAAUCAUCGAAUCUUUGAACGCACCUUGCGCUCCUUGGUAUUCCGA